GAUGAACGCUGGCGGCGUGCCUAAUACAUGCAAGUCGAGCGAACAGACGAGGAGCUUGCUCCUCUGACGUUAGCGGCGGACGGGUGAGUAACACGUGGAUAACCUGCCUAUAAGACUGGGAUAACUUCGGGAAACCGGAGCUAAUACCGGAUAAUAUAUUGAACCGCAUGGUUCAAUAGUGAAAGACGGUUUUGCUGUCACUUAUAGGUGGAUCCGCGCCGCAUUAGCUAGUUGGUAAGGUAACGGCUUACCAAGGCAACGAUGCGUAGCCGACCUGAGAGGGUGAUCGGCCACACUGGAACUGAGACACGGUCCAGACUCCUACGGGAGGCAGCAGUAGGGAAUCUUCCGCAAUGGGCGAAAGCCUGACGGAGCAACGCCGCGUGAGUGAUGAAGGUCUUCGGAUCGUAAAACUCUGUUAUUAGGGAAGAACAAAUGUGUAAGUAACUAUGCACGUCUUGACGGUACCUAAUCAGAAAGCCACGGCUAACUACGUG
RNAcentral lists this ribosomal RNA (497 nucleotides) under uncultured bacterium. RNAcentral's name for it is "partial 16S ribosomal RNA". It matches the Rfam family "Bacterial small subunit ribosomal RNA", at positions 28 to 507 of the family's 1533-position model. The record is from RNAcentral.